AAAGUCGUAACAAGGUUUCCGUAGGUGAACCUGCGGAAGGAUCAUUACCUAUUGCUUGGGCAGUUACAUGCCCUUGCAACCUUAAUCCCUUGUCUAUCUACCUUCUGUCCAUCCCUUUAGCAGGUAGCCAUCUGCUAGGGGGGCUGAACAUCCAUGUAUUAACUUUUUCGAAUUACUACACAAAUUAAAUUAUUACAACUUUUAACAAUGGAUCUCUUGGUUCUG
RNAcentral lists this unclassified non-coding RNA (225 nucleotides) under Ascomycota sp. RNAcentral describes it as "partial contains small subunit ribosomal RNA, internal transcribed spacer 1, and 5.8S ribosomal RNA". The stretch from base 1 to 47 matches the Rfam family "Eukaryotic small subunit ribosomal RNA", at positions 1785 to 1831 of the family's 1831-position model. The record is from RNAcentral. Lineage: Eukaryota; Fungi; Ascomycota.